GGCCCCCCGCCGGCGGCUGCUGGACUUCCACCGGGCCUACUUCCUGAAGGAGCUGCGCGGCUGUGCCAGCCACCCCCUGCGUGCAGGGGCCUGCUUCCUGCGCUACGCGGACCAGUUCGGUCUCUAUGCCCCAUACGUGAAGAACCAGCAGAAGCUCAUGGCAGCCCUGGCCUGCCAUCCAGCUGCCAACAAGACCAUGCACGGCAGCCCCGAGGCCCUGGCAAG
Pelodiscus sinensis (Chinese soft-shelled turtle) is the source of this 225-nucleotide non-coding RNA. NCBI's taxonomy places the organism in Eukaryota, Metazoa, Chordata, Testudines, Trionychidae. The record is from RefSeq and is a predicted model, not a curated record.